CUCGUGUAUUUGUAGGCACUGUGCUGGACAGGACUUUGCCGUGAAGCUCUAUCAAUGGACAACUCUCAAAGACAUGAAUCUCUGUUUUACUGCACAAAUGUGAAAAGCAGCACUCAUUCUCUGAAAGUGACAGAGAACUCAAAACAGUUAAGAAGUGGAAUUAUAAGGAAGCAAAGAAGUAGAGACAACGUUGUAAAGCCCUGCUCGGUCUGAAUAUGGAGCUCAAGAAA
This 230-nucleotide long non-coding RNA is filed under the name Fukomys damarensis (Damara mole-rat). Its description in RNAcentral is "lncRNA (ENSFDAG00000024326.1)". Lineage: Eukaryota; Metazoa; Chordata; Mammalia; Rodentia; Bathyergidae. The record is from RNAcentral.